This 253-nucleotide ribosomal RNA is filed under the name uncultured bacterium. RNAcentral describes it as "partial 16S ribosomal RNA". It matches the Rfam family "Bacterial small subunit ribosomal RNA", at positions 524 to 776 of the family's 1533-position model. The record is from RNAcentral.
UACGGAGGAUCCGAGCGUUAUCCGGAUUUAUUGGGUUUAAAGGGAGCGUAGGCGGCCUGUUAAGUCAGGGGUGAAAGACGGUGGCUCAACCAUCGCAGUGCCUUUGAUACUGACAGGCUUGAAUGUAGUUGAGGUGGGCGGAAUGUGACAAGUAGCGGUGAAAUGCAUAGAUAUGUCACAGAACACCGAUUGCGAAGGCAGCUCACUAAGCUAUGAUUGACGCUGAGGCUCGAAAGCGUGGGGAUCAAACAGG